Molecule: transfer RNA, 77 nt
Filed under: Erysipelotrichia bacterium
Lineage: Bacteria; Bacillati; Bacillota; Erysipelotrichia
Description: tRNA-Met
Rfam family: tRNA
About the family: Transfer RNA (tRNA) molecules are approximately 80 nucleotides in length. Their secondary structure includes four short double-helical elements and three loops (D, anti-codon, and T loops).
Source: RNAcentral
UGCGGGGUAGAGAAGCGGCCAUCUCGCCACCCUCAUAAGGUGGAAAUCGCGGGUUCGAGUCCCGCCCUUCGCAACCA